UGGGGAAUAUUCCGCAAUGGACGAAAGUCUGACGGAGCAACGCCGCGUGAGUGAUGAAGGUUUUCGGACUGUAAAGCUCUGUUGUUUAGGACGAAAGUGCCUGUUGCGAACAGUUACAGGUAUUGACGGUACUAAACGAGGAAGCCACGGCUAACUACGUGCCAGCAGCCGCGGUAAUACGUAGGUGGCAAGCGUUGUCCGGAAUUAUUGGGCGUAAAGAGCAUGUAGGCGGAGAUUUAAGUCUGUUGUGAAAAUGCGGGGCUCAACCCCGUAUUGCGAUGGAAACUGGAUGUCUUGAGUGCAGGAGAGGAAAGGGGAAUUCCCAGUGUAGCGGUGAAAUGCGUAGAUAUUGGGAGGAACACCAGUGGCGAAGGCGCCUUUCUGGACUGUGUCUGACGCUGAGAUGCGAAAGCCAGGG
RNAcentral lists this ribosomal RNA (418 nucleotides) under uncultured bacterium. RNAcentral's name for it is "bacterial SSU rRNA". It matches the Rfam family "Bacterial small subunit ribosomal RNA", at positions 355 to 765 of the family's 1533-position model. The record is from RNAcentral.